This is a long non-coding RNA of Symphalangus syndactylus (siamang), 331 nucleotides long. RefSeq lists it as uncharacterized. The record is from RefSeq and is a predicted model, not a curated record. NCBI's taxonomy places the organism in Eukaryota, Metazoa, Chordata, Mammalia, Primates, Hylobatidae.
UGCCUUGUUAUUAAUGGCAAAUGAACCGUGGAUGAUGCUGUCAGAGAGCCUCUCUCCAUCUGACCCACGUUCUCCACUCCACAUCAUUCUGUUUACGAAUUACAGAGAUUGAGAAGAGCUUUGAAGUAACCAAUUUCAAUGGCUUGUUUUUGAGAGGAGGAAUUUGAAGAGUGCUGAUCAAAACUUGGAGAGGGAUACAAGCAAAAGAAAAAGGAGCAAUUUAAAGGAAGAAAUAAUCUGUGCAGAAGUGUCACAAUAAACAGAACACACAUAUUUCAAAGUCAUAAUCAUUAAAGAAAUGAAAUUAAAGCACAUAUGGAAUGAAGCAUAA